UGGAACUCAAGUACAGAAAACACACAAACUUUCACAGUGGAGUUUGAUCCAAGAACAGACAGAUUGUCUUCAUCUUCAAGAUGCUGUCAGUGAACUUCAGUCUGUUUGUCACUUUGUUUCUGCUCACAAUAAGAGAGUGUAAAGGAGAAGACAAAGUGAUGCAGCCAUCAGGAGAUGUCAUUGCUGCUGAAGGAGAUACAGUUACACUGGAUUGUACUUUUGAGACCACCUCCACAGCAACACAAACUACAUUGUUCUGGUACAAACAAGAAAUAAAUGACUUUCCAAAGUACAUUUUACGACGUAACUCGUAUGGAGGAGAUGAUAAUGCUCCAGAGUUCCAGAAAGACAGAUUUGAUGCUAAAAUCAACAAGACAUCAGUUCCUCUGAAGAUCCAGAAGCUUCAGCUGUCAGACUCUGCUGUGUACUACUGUGCUGUGAGGCCCACAGUGACAGGAAACAGCAAAAAUCUGUACAAAAACCUUUGGAGCAAAGACAACAGAAAACUCCACAACAUCCACUAGAGGGAGACACACUCUGUUACACAGCUUUGCCAUGAUUUCAUGUUUUGAUAGAGUCUAGAAUCUGUUUACUCUCAGAUGAGAUUAUGAUGUAAAACAAAUGAAACCACUUAAAACUUACAAUAAGGUUACCAUAGCAACAAUGAAUGACAUCUCAAAUUCCCAUGUCCUGUAGUUAGAUAUUGAGAUAUA
Amphiprion ocellaris (clown anemonefish) is the source of this 713-nucleotide non-coding RNA. The record is from the annotation of a RefSeq genome assembly. NCBI's taxonomy places the organism in Eukaryota, Metazoa, Chordata, Actinopteri, Pomacentridae.